AACGAACGCUGGCGGCAUGCCUAACACAUGCAAGUCGAACGAGACCUUCGGGUCUAGUGGCGCACGGGUGCGUAACGCGGGGGAACCUGCCCUUAGGUUCGGAAUAACUCCCCGAAAGGGGUGCUAAUACCGGAUAAUGUCUUCGGACCAAAGAUUUAUCGCCUUUGGAUGGGCCCGCGUUGGAUUAGCUAGUUGGUAGGGUAAAAGCCUACCAAGGCGACGAUCCAUAGCUGGUCUGAGAGGAUGAUCAGCCACACUGGGACUGAGACACGGCCCAGACUCCUACGGGAGGCAGCAGUGGGGAAUAUUGGACGAGGGGCGAAAGCCUGAUCCAGCAAUGCCGCGUGAGUGAUGAAGGCCUUAGGGUUGUAAAGCUCUUUUACCCGGGAUGAUAAUGACAGUACCGGGUGAAUAAGCUCCGGCUAACUCCGUG
Molecule: ribosomal RNA, 433 nt
Filed under: uncultured bacterium
Lineage: Bacteria
Description: partial 16S ribosomal RNA
Rfam family: Bacterial small subunit ribosomal RNA
Source: RNAcentral